UCGCUUAUUAACUCCAAGUUUUCCCAAACUCCUUUCUCAUUUUCAACUAUCCUUCUCUCUUUCCUUACUCACUCACAUUCACGAAAGAGAAGUCUGCUCUCCCAUGUCCAUUUCCUUCACUUGAAAAAAUUAACACUUCAGUUAAAACCCACUAAGAUUUAAAAAAAAUGAACGCAAUGAAAAAGAUUCGCAAAGGAGAAGAUGCGAAAUAAUUUCAGAUACGACCAAAAGCAUUUUUCUAUCAUCAAACUUCUGAUCUAUGAAUCAAUGUAUUUUGAAGAAGGAUAUAACACUCUUUGACAACGAGAUGUUAUAAUCAACACUCCUGCUUGGAGAAAUCCUUAUCGGUGGCACUAAUCUGAUUGUGGAUCAUCAGUUUCACUUCUGAAAGGUUAUAUAUCAGUACCUUCCAAUAGAUAAAUCUAGGAUUAGAAUGCAUGCUUAGAAAUACAACAAAAUAUUUACUUGGUUUUGUCAUGACCCGAAAUUUCAACUACGACCCGUGAUGGCGUCUAAGGUCCACUUGCUAGGAAAG
Non-coding RNA from Nicotiana tabacum (common tobacco), 535 nucleotides. Lineage: Eukaryota; Viridiplantae; Streptophyta; Magnoliopsida; Solanales; Solanaceae. The record is from RefSeq and is a predicted model, not a curated record.